CCUACGGGGGGCAGCAGUGAGGAAUAUUGGUCAAUGGCCGGAAGGCUGAACCAGCCAAGCCGCGUGAAGGACGAAGGUGCCAAGCAUUGUAAACUUCUUUUGUCAAGGGACAAAAUCAGGCUCGAGAGCCUGACCGAGGGUACUUGAAGAAAAAGCAUCGGCUAACUCCGUGCCAGCAGCCGCGGUAAGACGGAGGAUGCGAGCGUUAUCCGGAUUUAUUGGGUUUAAAGGGUGCGUAGGCGGGCUGUUAAGUCAGCGGUAAAAGCCCGGGGCUCGACCCCGGCGAGCGGUGGAAACUGGCUGUCUUGGGAUGGCGGGAGGUAUGCGGAAUGCGCGGGGUAGCGGUG
RNAcentral lists this ribosomal RNA (347 nucleotides) under uncultured bacterium. Its description in RNAcentral is "partial 16S ribosomal RNA". It matches the Rfam family "Bacterial small subunit ribosomal RNA", at positions 338 to 683 of the family's 1533-position model. The record is from RNAcentral.